AUGGAUCCCCUCUCCCUCCUCGUCCCCCGCGCGCGCCCUUCGCUCCCGCUCCCGCUCCGCGCCGCCGCCCCGGCCACCAGCAGCGCCAGAGCGGCGGCACCGGCCCCGCGACGGUGGCGGCAGCGCGCGCGGCUGCCGUCGCCGGUCUCGGCCGUGGCGGCGGAGGCGCCCUCGGCGCCGUCGCCGUCCGGCGGGGAGGAGAAGGAGAAGGAGAAGGAGGAGGGGCAGUUCGACUGGCUGGACCAGUGGUACCCGCUGGCCCCCGUGUGCGACCUGGACCCCGGCGCGCCGCACGGCAAGACGGUGCUGGGCCUCCGCGUGGUGGCCUGGUACGACCGCGCCGUGGACGAGUGGCGCGUGUUCGACGACGCCUGCCCGCACCGCCUGGCGCCGCUCUCCGAGGGCCGCAUCGACGACAAGGGCCGCCUCCAGUGCGUCUACCACGGCUGGUGCUUCGACGGCCGCGGCUCCUGCCAGUUCAUCCCACAGGCCCCCGCCCUCGGCCCACCUGUGCACAAGAACAGCAAGGCGUGCGUGGCGUCGUACCCGAGCGUGGUGCAGAACAACAUCCUGUGGUUCUACCCGAGGGCCGACGAGGAGCACCAAGACAUUCUGCAGAGGAAGCGCCCGCCAUUCAUCCCGGAGAUCGACGACCCCUCCUUCGUCACCGUCUACGGCGUCAGGGACCUCCCCUACGGCUACGAUGUGCUGGUGGAGAACCUCAUGGACCCUGCCCACGUCCCCUACGCGCACAAGGGGCUGAUGGGCAAACUUCGCAAGAAGGAAGACCCCGGAAGAGUUGAGUUCGACGUCGAAGGCGGCGGGCCAGUGAAGAUGAAGAUAGCGGAGGCGGAUAUCGCCGGGUUCCUGUCGGAGCAGGACAAUAGCGGAUACUUCCGGUACGUCGCGCCGUGCACCUUCUACGGCUCGCCCCUCCCAAAAGAGGAAAAGGGACAGGAGAAGAAGAAGAAGAAGAAGCCGCCUCAGUUCAUGCUGGUGUUCAUGUGCGUCCCGGUGUCUCCAGGGAAAAGCAGGGUGAUCUGGGCGUUCCCGAGGAACGUCGGCGUCUGGCUCGACAAGGUCAUACCGCGGUGGUACUACCACAUCGGCCAGAACGCCAUCCUGGACUCAGACAUCUACCUCCUCCACAUCGAGGAGCGCAACUUCGCCGCGGCGGGCAUCGAAAACUGGCAGAAAGCCGUGUAUGUGCCGACGUCGUCGGACAACAUGGUGAUUGCCUUCAGGAACUGGUUCAGAAAACACUGCAAGAGUCAGGUCGGCUGGGCCGCCCCGACGGUCGGUCAGCUACCAGAGACUCCAACCAAAGACAAGCUCAUGGAGAGGUACUGGUCGCACGUCGCGCAGUGCAGGAGCUGCAGCGCGGCGCUGAAGGGCAUGAAGGCGCUGGAGGUUGCCCUGCAGAUUGCGUCGGUGGCAGUGGUCGGGUUCCUCGCCGUCGCCAAGGGGACACUGGUGACAUCGGUGGUGCAGAGAGCCGCCGUUGUGUCCUUGGCUGUGCUGUGCUUCGCCGCGUCCCGUUGGCUGGCGAGCUUCAUCGAGAAGAACUUCUAUUUCCAGGAUUACGUCCAUGCCUACAAGUGA
This 1602-nucleotide ribosomal RNA is filed under the name Triticum aestivum (bread wheat). Its description in RNAcentral is "partial small subunit ribosomal RNA". The record is from RNAcentral. Lineage: Eukaryota; Viridiplantae; Streptophyta; Magnoliopsida; Poales; Poaceae.